Molecule: ribosomal RNA, 716 nt
Filed under: uncultured bacterium
Lineage: Bacteria
Description: bacterial SSU rRNA
Rfam family: Archaeal small subunit ribosomal RNA
Source: RNAcentral
AAUCCGGUAUUCCUGGGGGACCACCUGUGGGAAGGGCGUCUCACUAGAACGGCUCCGACAGUGAGGGACGAAAGCUGGGGAGCAAACCGGAUUAGAUACCCGGUUAGUCCCAUCUGUAAACGAUGGCGCGUUAGGUGUAUCGGUGACCACGAGUCACCGAGGUGCCGAAGGGAAACCGUGAAACGUGCCGCCUGGGAAGUACGGUCGCAAGGCUGAAACUUAAAGGAAUUGGCGGGGGGAGCACCACAACAGGUGGAGCCUGCGGUUUAAUCGGACUCAACGCCGGGAAGCUCACCGGAUAAGACAGCUGAAUGAUAGCCGGGUUGAAGACUCUGCUUGACUAGCUGAGAGGAGGUGCAUGGCCGUCGUCAGUUCGUACUGUGAAGCAUCCUGUUAAGUCAGGCAACGAGCGAGACCCACGCCAACAGUUGCCAGCAUGUCCUCCGGGAUGGUGGGGACACUGUUGGAGACCGCCUCUGCUAAAGAGGAGGAAGGAAUGGGCAACGGUAGGUCAGCAUGCCCCGAAUUAUCCGGGCUACACGCGGGCUACAAUGGUCAGGACAAUGGGUAUCGACACCGAAAGGUGAAGGCAAUCUCUUAAACCUGUCCUUAGUUCGGAUUGUGGGCUGCAACUCGCCCACAUGAAGCUGGAAUCUGUAGUAAUCGCGUCUCAAAAUGGCGCGGUGAAUAUGUCCCUGCUCCUUGCACACAUCUCG